GCAGACAGCUCAGUUGGUUAGAGAGUGGUGCUGAUAACGCCAAGGUUGCAGGUUCGAACAACUGCAGUUAUUUCUGCG
Molecule: non-coding RNA, 78 nt
Organism: Podarcis lilfordi (Lilford's wall lizard)
Lineage: Eukaryota; Metazoa; Chordata; Lepidosauria; Squamata; Lacertidae
Source: the annotation of a GenBank genome assembly